AUUGAACGCUGGCGGCAUGCUUUACACAUGCAAGUCGAACGGCAGCGAGGAGAAGCUUGCUUCUCUGUCGGCGAGUGGCGAACGGGUGAGUAUAGCAUCGGAACGUGCCAAGUAGUGGGGGAUAACCAAACGAAAGUUUGGCUAAUACCGCGUAAGCUCUAAGGAGGAAAGUAGGGGACCUAAAUAAGGCCUUACGCUAUUUGAUCGGCCGAUGUCGGAUUAGCUAGUUGGUGGGGUAAUGGCUCACCAAGGCAAUGUUCCGUAGCGGGUCUGAGAGGACGAUCCGCCACACUGGGACUGAGACACGGCCCAGACUCCUACGGGAGGCAGCAGUGGGGAAUUUUGGACAAUGGGGGAAACCCUGAUCCAGCCAUGCCGCGUGUAUGAAGAAGGCCUUAGGGUUGUAAAGUACUUUUGUUAGGGAAGAAAAGCUAGUUUUUAAUAAAAAUUAGUGAUGACGGUACCUAAAGAAUAAGCACCGGCUAACUACGUG
This 493-nucleotide ribosomal RNA is filed under the name uncultured bacterium. RNAcentral's name for it is "partial 16S ribosomal RNA". It matches the Rfam family "Bacterial small subunit ribosomal RNA", at positions 30 to 507 of the family's 1533-position model. The record is from RNAcentral.